GCACCGCUAGCUCAAUGGAUAGAGCAUCAGCCUACGAAGCUGAGGGUUGCAGGUUCGACUCCUGCGCGGUGCG
This 73-nucleotide transfer RNA is filed under the name Planctomycetaceae bacterium. Its description in RNAcentral is "tRNA-Arg". It matches the Rfam family "tRNA". Rfam says of the family: Transfer RNA (tRNA) molecules are approximately 80 nucleotides in length. Their secondary structure includes four short double-helical elements and three loops (D, anti-codon, and T loops). The record is from RNAcentral. RNAcentral also lists the same sequence under 2 other names. Lineage: Bacteria; Pseudomonadati; Planctomycetota; Planctomycetia; Planctomycetales; Planctomycetaceae.